Austrofundulus limnaeus is the source of this 194-nucleotide long non-coding RNA. RefSeq lists it as uncharacterized. The record is from RefSeq and is a predicted model, not a curated record. The transcript has 2 exons. NCBI's taxonomy places the organism in Eukaryota, Metazoa, Chordata, Actinopteri, Cyprinodontiformes, Rivulidae.
AUUCCAUUUAAAAAGUGAAACUUGUAUAUUAUAUUCAUACAUUACAUACAAACUGUUUGUAACUUUUCUUUUCUUCUGUCUGCAGGAUCCUGUUUACCAAUUGAUGUGCCACAUGAAAGAGUCGACCUGCAAGAUGGAAAUGUCAUGGAAUUUCUCCAGUCAAAGGAUACCAGGAUUAACCAGCAAGCUAAGGA